ACAGUGGACGCGAGCAUCUGUGGCCAAGUUUUUAAGGGCGCACGGUGGAUGCCUUGGC
Molecule: ribosomal RNA, 58 nt
Filed under: Streptomyces variegatus
Lineage: Bacteria; Bacillati; Actinomycetota; Actinomycetes; Kitasatosporales; Streptomycetaceae
Also listed under: 2 other names
Description: partial 23S ribosomal RNA
Source: RNAcentral